RNAcentral lists this transfer RNA (71 nucleotides) under Loxodonta africana (African savanna elephant). It matches the Rfam family "tRNA". Rfam says of the family: Transfer RNA (tRNA) molecules are approximately 80 nucleotides in length. Their secondary structure includes four short double-helical elements and three loops (D, anti-codon, and T loops). Further hydrogen bonds mediate the characteristic L-shaped molecular structure. tRNAs have two regions of fundamental functional importance: the anti-codon, which is responsible for specific mRNA codon recognition, and the 3' end, to which the tRNAs corresponding amino acid is attached (by aminoacyl-tRNA synthetases). tRNAs cope with the degeneracy of the genetic code in two manners: having more than one tRNA (with a specific anti-codon) for a particular amino acid; and 'wobble' base-pairing, i.e. permitting non-standard base-pairing at the 3rd anti-codon position. The record is from Rfam by way of RNAcentral. Lineage: Eukaryota; Metazoa; Chordata; Mammalia; Proboscidea; Elephantidae.
GCGUUGGUAGUUCAGUGGUAGAAUUCUGGCCUUCCAUGCAGGAGACACGGGUUCAAUUCCCAGCCAGUCCA